AUUCCAGCUCCAAGAGCGUAUAUUAAAGUUGUUGCAGUUAAAAAGCUCGUAGUUGGAUUUCUGGUACAACGCGCCUGGCCCGCUUUUAGUGAGUGCCGGUGCGCGUUUGCCAUCCUUCUAGAAAACGUUUCUACCUGGGCAACCGGGCCGGACUCGCGAUCUAGAUCUUUUACUUUGAAAAAAUUAGAGUGUUUAAAGCAGGCUUUUGCUGUGAAUACAUUAGCAUGGAAUAAUAAUCUAGGACUUCGGUUCUAUUUUGUUGGUUUCUAGUACUGAAGUAAUGAUUGAUAGGGAUAGUUGGGGGUGCUAGUAUUGGCCGGCCAGAGGUGAAAUUCUUGGAUUCGGUCAAGACUAACUUAUGCGAAAGCAUUCACCAAGGAUGUCUUCAUCG
RNAcentral lists this ribosomal RNA (391 nucleotides) under Cryothecomonas sp. RNAcentral describes it as "partial small subunit ribosomal RNA". It matches the Rfam family "Eukaryotic small subunit ribosomal RNA", at positions 582 to 975 of the family's 1831-position model. The record is from RNAcentral. Lineage: Eukaryota; Cercozoa; Thecofilosea; Cryomonadida; Protaspidae.